Molecule: ribosomal RNA, 499 nt
Filed under: uncultured bacterium
Lineage: Bacteria
Description: bacterial SSU rRNA
Rfam family: Bacterial small subunit ribosomal RNA
Source: RNAcentral
UACCUGGUGAGGUUGAGAGUACCUGAAGAAUAAGCACCGGCUAACUACGUGCCAGCAGCCGCGGUAAUACGUAGGGUGCAAGCGUUAAUCGGAAUUACUGGGCGUAAAGCGUGCGCAGGCGGACUUUUAAGCCAGAUGUGAAAGCCCCGAGCUUAACUUGGGAAUUGCGUUUGGAACUGGGAGUCUAGAGUCUGUCAGAGGGGGAUGGAAUUCCACGUGUAGCAGUGAAAUGCGUAGAGAUGUGGAGGAACACCGAUGGCGAAGGCAGUCCCCUGGGAUAAGACUGACGCUCAUGCACGAAAGCGUGGGGAGCAAACAGGAUUAGAUACCCUGGUAGUCCACGCCCUAAACGAUGUCUACUAGUUGUUGGGGUAGCAAUACCUCAGUGACGCAGCUAACGCGUGAAGUAGACCGCCUGGGGAGUACGGUCGCGAACGAUUAAAACUCAAAGGAAUUGACGGGGGCCGCGACAAGCGGUGGAUUAUGUGGAUUAAUUCGA